UCUCAGGCAUCAAGGUUCAAGUCUGUGAAAGAAACCACCAACCCGUUGAUGAGGUGGCAGUGACUUUGGUGGAGCUGUCAGUUGAUGGUUCUAUUAUGGGUACUGUUGAAAUUAAGCUUCCUGAAGAAGGAGUAAGAGGCCUUGGUUCUAUUAUGGGAGAGGAACAAUAACUAUGACCUGGCUUUACUUACAUUUUAUUAUUGUUAAGACAUUGACCAAUUUGCAUUCGAUGUUGUGUGUUUACUUUAUUUAAUUAAAAACAAGAAGUAAACAAAGUUGAACAAAAAGAAAAGACUUGCAAUUUCCUCAACGAUAAACCUUCCCUUAAAGCACAUAAUAGUUAGCAAAUAACAGGGCAUUUUUCUUGCUUUUACUUUGACACACUAAUCCUUUUCCACUGUCUCUCUUUUUCUCUUUACUUCCCCCCUCCUCCCCUCUUGCGAUUCCACAUAUAUGAUGUAGCUAUCUGUGUCAUUACAGGUUUGCCCUAAUCACAUGAAACCACAUAUAUGAAACUACACAUGAAACGAGCUUCGAAGCCACCGUCGGUAUCGUGCAGCUCUGUUCCACCAUCGUGCAGCUACUGUUUCAGCUUUGAAAGCACCGUCGCGCAGCUCGGUUCCAUCGUCGCCGGGCUCGCCUCCUUUUUCCGUCGAGCAGCUCUGUUCCAUCAUCGCCGGCGCUAUCUCUGUUCCACCUGUCAUCCCUUCGGUCGUGCCCUUGUCCCCCUCUUGCUCAGGAUCUGCUCUGCUCUGUUCUAGGGCUUCUAGCUUCUAGUUUCCUGUGUCUAAUGUUCUUCUUAAUUCAGAUGUAGACCCUGCUAAAGUUUUUGAACUCAUUGGAACUUGCCUUGUGGAUAUGGCCAAAGUGGGAGUGAUUAGUGAAGAAAAAGUGGAUUCAUUCAAUGUGCCUUUGAUAUACCCUUCUGUUAAGGCUGUGAAGGAAAUUCUUAGAGGAUGUGAUGAAUGUUUCAGCAUUGAAUGGAUGGAAAUAUUGGAAUUCAAGAACAUGGUGUCAUUGCCAACUGUGCAAAUAUUUGUUUCAUGGUUCAGAGCUGCGCUGCAAGGGAUGAUUGAGAAACACUUUGGAGCAGAAAUAGUUGAUGAGCUUUUCGAACGCUUUGCCGAGAGAAAGUUAAAGAAUUUCCAGACAUCAUGGACACAGAUAAACUAAAACUUGAUGUGCUGUUUGUUCUUCUCAGGAGAAAGAACAAGGCAAGGCCAUAGGCUGUGUUAUACAAUGUGAACAUCAUCAGGUUUAAUUAGUAAAUGGGGAUAUAAUAAAGAGUUGGUUCCAUUCUUGUACUACUAAUGAUCUUAAACUGGAUAUUAAUGCUAAGAACAAAUUUAUACACGUUGAAUCUUGAUGUAGAUAAGAAACAAGUUUCUCACUUGCGUUUCAUGUUACUAUUAGGUCUAAUGGCUACAUACCAUGCCCAGAAUGAGUACUGCCUUUUUACGGAUAUGUCUCAACGGUAUCGAGUUUUUGCAAGCAUCAUCGCUCAGUUAGAGGAAGAUUGAGACUACUAGUUGAACUUUAUUCUAGCAUUCCACGGCCUAUGAAUAUGUCAUUGCUGCUAAAGCUGAAGGAAGACCUUAAGUGACUCUGUAUUCAUUGUAUGUAUGAAGUAGAAGUUUGGUGGUAUUGAUUUCUACACUAGUCUUACGAAAAUAGUUGACUUUGUACACUAUUAUCUAAGUUAUAUGUUGUUUUAUACUAUUACUAAUAUGUAUUUUCUUUUCCUUUUUGGGUGAUAUAUAGCACUCCAUGUGAGAAAAUGUUUAAUUAAAAUUUUCAGUUUUAUCUA
This is a non-coding RNA of Arachis ipaensis, 1807 nucleotides long. The record is from RefSeq and is a predicted model, not a curated record. NCBI's taxonomy places the organism in Eukaryota, Viridiplantae, Streptophyta, Magnoliopsida, Fabales, Fabaceae.